GUUUUACCAGCUUCAGCAAUACAUACAUAAAUUUGGAAUAAUAAAGGAAAGAUUAGUAUGGCCCCUUCACAAGGUGGGUCUAUUUUUCCCAGGUUUUUAAUACAUUCUU
Small nuclear RNA from Apodemus sylvaticus (European woodmouse), 109 nucleotides. NCBI's taxonomy places the organism in Eukaryota, Metazoa, Chordata, Mammalia, Rodentia, Muridae. The record is from RefSeq and is a predicted model, not a curated record.